GGGCCCGUGGCGCAGUUAGGAUGGCGCGCUUGGCUUCGGCUCCCUCAAUUGGGAGAGGAUACCAAGAGGUCGGGGGUUCGAAUCCCUCCGGGCCCG
RNAcentral lists this transfer RNA (96 nucleotides) under candidate division MSBL1 archaeon SCGC-AAA261F17. RNAcentral's name for it is "candidate divison MSBL1 archaeon SCGC-AAA261F17 tRNA". It matches the Rfam family "tRNA". From Rfam's summary of the family: Transfer RNA (tRNA) molecules are approximately 80 nucleotides in length. Their secondary structure includes four short double-helical elements and three loops (D, anti-codon, and T loops). Further hydrogen bonds mediate the characteristic L-shaped molecular structure. tRNAs have two regions of fundamental functional importance: the anti-codon, which is responsible for specific mRNA codon recognition, and the 3' end, to which the tRNAs corresponding amino acid is attached (by aminoacyl-tRNA synthetases). tRNAs cope with the degeneracy of the genetic code in two manners: having more than one tRNA (with a specific anti-codon) for a particular amino acid; and 'wobble' base-pairing, i.e. permitting non-standard base-pairing at the 3rd anti-codon position. The record is from Rfam by way of RNAcentral. Lineage: Archaea; Methanobacteriati; Methanobacteriota.